UCACCAUGUUGGCCAGGCUGUCUGGAACUCUUGACCUCAGGUGAUCCGCCCAACUUGGCUUUCCAAAAGUGUUGGGAUUACAGGCGUCAGCUAUCGCCUCCUAUUGACUUUUAAAAGGAGGUUGAGUGGCUUCAGGGGUCACACGCCUUGAGCAUCCAAGUGGCCUUCCCCCACUGCCCAAUGAGCAAGUGAGUAGAUUUGGAUGCACAAAAACACAUAUUUCCACGCCAUUUCUUGACUAACGAUCUUUCUUGUUUUAUUCUCAUGAUUCCGUUUCUAGUCUCUAGGCCGUGCCUGGUCCCAGAUCCAAGCUCCCUGGAAGCUGGUACUUGGGCCGCCCUGGGUAGGCAGCACUGAGCAAGGCAGGCGGACAGCGCUGGGCUCGCGGGCCUGCGAGGUCCUGCGUCCUCCGCGGAGUGUUGGCGGCGGGGGUCGCUUCUGCGAGGGGACACCGAGCAGAGGGGGCGUGCGGCCUCUCUAGGAAGCUUUCUCGGACCCCGGACGCUGGCAAGGACCCGCCCCUCUUCCGGACCCCGGCGCGGCCCCCUGCACCUGGGGCUAGCAGCGGAGUCGCUUCUCCCUGCAGCCCCUCCCUGGGUCUGGUGGGACGCAUCCCCGGCGGACCCCGAGGCUGCAGCCAGCGCCCCUGCGGCUUCUCACCCGCGCUACUCCGCCGCAGCGAGGCCCCGCACUUCGCGCGCUAGGAGUUUGGAGUCUGGACCCCCCGCCGGAGCCGAGCCGCCAGGCCGCCCCGCACCCGGCACCAGGGGCCGAUGUCGCCCCUGCAGCAGCUCUCACGGGGCGGCGCUGCGCAGGCGCCGAAGCCCGGAACCUUCGCGCCCAGCUUCUGGGCCCGGCCGGGCCAAGUUCGCCGCCGUCCCGGUUCCCCUCGAGUCGGCUCCAACUGCCAGCCCGGGUUGGCGCCAUGUACGCCGUGUACAAACAGGCGCAUCCGCCCACCGGCCUGGAGUUCGCCAUGUACUGCAACUUCUUCAACAACAGCGAGCGCAACCUCGUGGUGGCCGGGACCUCGCAGCUCUACGUGUACCGCCUCAAUCGCGACGCCGAGGCUGCGCCAUCCAAGGUCCCCUGGGCCUGGGCUUGUGGGACAAGAUCGCCGCGCAGCUCCGGGAACUGCAGCUGUGCAGCCGACGCCUCGGCGCCG
RNAcentral lists this long non-coding RNA (1165 nucleotides) under Macaca nemestrina (pig-tailed macaque). RNAcentral's name for it is "lncRNA (ENSMNEG00000045975.1)". Lineage: Eukaryota; Metazoa; Chordata; Mammalia; Primates; Cercopithecidae. The record is from RNAcentral.